RNAcentral lists this microRNA precursor (96 nucleotides) under Choloepus hoffmanni (Hoffmann's two-fingered sloth). Its description in RNAcentral is "miRNA (ENSCHOG00000015758.1)". It matches the Rfam family "mir-544 microRNA precursor family". Lineage: Eukaryota; Metazoa; Chordata; Mammalia; Pilosa; Megalonychidae. The record is from RNAcentral.
AUCACUUGGGGAUCUUGUAAAAAUGAAGAUUCUGAUUCAGCAGGUCUGGGGUGGGACUGAAGAUUCUGCAUUUCUCACAAGCUCCCAGGUGAUGCC